Long non-coding RNA from Glycine soja, 599 nucleotides. RefSeq lists it as uncharacterized. The record is from RefSeq and is a predicted model, not a curated record. Lineage: Eukaryota; Viridiplantae; Streptophyta; Magnoliopsida; Fabales; Fabaceae. The transcript is spliced from 3 exons.
AGAAUCCCUCGAAGUGAAGCUUUCAUCAUUUCGUUCAAUCUCUGCGAAGCAUUGCCAGAAAAGUUCAUGUGUGAAGUCUCCGUCAAAUAGGCAUUUGGGGAAGCUUUCCUUGAACACAAGGACUAUUCUAGAGAGUCAAAAGUGACAAACUUUUUGGUUUAGUUGUGGCUGGAGGCUUCUUUGCUCUGUUCUUUGGUUUUGUGACAACUACAUAAUAGUCAGCACCAUCACUGGCGAUAUUGGCUAUUUCCACUAUUAGUUUUUGGGCUAGUCUGGCUUUUAGCAUUACUACAGGUAGUACGUUGUCACAAAUACAUUGGAUGUACUAAAUUGUGCCACCUACUGACAAGUUGAAUCUACACUGCCGUGUUUGGAAAGCCAUUACUGUAAUCCCACUCGUACCUAUUGUCAUUUACUGGCAUUUUUUAGGUAUGUAUUUCUUUGAUGCACAACAGUGAUAAUUACAUGCUUCUUUAUGUAUGACGUGAUGUAUUAUGUAGCUAAUUAAUCAUUGAGAGUGAACCUUAGUAUCCCGUUUGAGAUUCUAUACAACGAUUAAUAUGGAAAGUUUGCAUUAAUCGGUAUAUUGAAUCUUGAAU